GGGGGGGGGGGGGGGGGGGGGGGGGGGGGGGGGGGGGGGGGGGGGGGGCGGGCGGGGGGGGGGGUCUGGGGGGGCGAGCGGGGUGGUAACGCGGGAGUCAGCGUCCCGUGGCUUUGGUAUAACUUCAGGGAACUGGGGCUCAGACCUGAUAUGGUCGCCGUCUGCAUGGUGUGGGUUGGGCCUGUUCGUCGGUUGGGGGUGGCGUCGCGGCUUAUCCUCUUGUGGGUGGGGUCGUGGCUUACCAAGGCUUUGCCGGGUAGCCGGCCUGAGCGGGUGACCGGCCACAUUGGGACUGAGAUACGGCCCAGACUCCUACGGGAGGCAGCAGUGGGGAAUAUUGCACAAUGGGCGGAAGCCUGAUGCAGCAACGCCGCGUGCGGGAUGACGGCCUUCGGGUUGUAAACCGCUUUCGCCGGUGACGAAGCGUGAGUGACGGUAAUGGGUAAAGAAGCACCGGCUAACUACGUG
RNAcentral lists this ribosomal RNA (468 nucleotides) under uncultured bacterium. Its description in RNAcentral is "partial 16S ribosomal RNA". The stretch from base 52 to 468 matches the Rfam family "Bacterial small subunit ribosomal RNA", at positions 39 to 507 of the family's 1533-position model. The record is from RNAcentral.